This 793-nucleotide ribosomal RNA is filed under the name Kiritimatiellia bacterium. RNAcentral's name for it is "partial 23S ribosomal RNA". It matches the Rfam family "Bacterial large subunit ribosomal RNA", at positions 1 to 867 of the family's 2925-position model. Lineage: Bacteria; Pseudomonadati; Kiritimatiellota; Kiritimatiellia. The record is from RNAcentral.
AAUCAAGCGUUUAAGGGCGAUUGGCGGAUGCCUUGGCACUGAAAGACGAUGAAGGACGUGGUAUACUGCGAUAAGUUUCGGGGAGCUGUAUGCAGGCUUUGAUCCGAAAAUUUCCGAAUGGGGAAACCCAACACUUCGUGUGUUACUUUAUACUGAAUACAUAGGUAUAAAGGGUGAACCUGGAGAACUGAAACAUCUAAGUAACCAGAGGAAAAGAAAUCAAUUGAGACUCCGUGAGUAGUGGCGAGCGAAAGCGGACUAGGCCAGCAACUUAGUUUAGACAAUUUGAAUAGUUUGGAAAAACUAACCACAGAGGGUGACAGUCCCGUAAAAGUAAUGCUAAUCUAAGUUCUUGAGUAAAGCGGGACACGUGAAAUCCUGCUCGAAUUAUGGGGGACCACCCUCUAAGCCUAAGUACUCUACAGUGACNNNNNNNNNNAAGGUGAAAAGAACCCCUAUUAGGGGAGUGAAAUAGAACCUGAAACCGAUUGCCUACAAACAGUCGAAGCUCUUUUUAGAGUGACGGCGUACCUUUUGUAUAAUGGGUCAGUGACUUAAUUUAUAUUGCAAGCUUAAGCCGAUUAGGUGGAGGCGCAGCGAAAGCGAGUCUUAAUAGGGCGUUUAGUUGUAUGAAUUAGACCCGAAAACGAAUGAGCUUACCAUGAACAGGUUGAAAGUUGGGUAACACCAACCGGAGGACCGAACCAGUUGACGUUGAAAAGUCUUUGGAUGAUUUGUGGUAAGGGGUGAAAGGCCAACCAAAUUCGUAGAUAGCUGGUUUUCCGCGAAAACU